RNAcentral lists this long non-coding RNA (416 nucleotides) under Brassica napus (rape). RNAcentral describes it as "long non-coding RNA (BNAP_LNC011561)". Lineage: Eukaryota; Viridiplantae; Streptophyta; Magnoliopsida; Brassicales; Brassicaceae. The record is from RNAcentral.
UGUAUUGGAUAUAAUCCUAUGUGUAUUGGAUUCUCUUGACAGUAAUAUAUAUGAUAAACUGGAUACUAAAAAGUGUGUAGUCAACAUGUUCUUCAUCUACAUGUUCAGCGACAAUAUAAAAGUCUUCAAUCUCGACCCACGUUCCUUCGAUUAGAAGAGGUUCGUAAUGACGAAUAAAUGUUGAUGUGAUCCUGAUCGAACCAGAUGACAAUACAAACGUGGUCAAGCCCAGAUGUUCAACUGAAGACGAAUUAGAAAACAAUGCAAGCAUGGUCAAGUUCAGAUGGUCAGGUGAAGAACAUGGAAAUAAUCUUGAACGAGAGGGAGAGCUUGAAGAUGAAUGUAUCUUAACCAUUCCAGGAGGUCCAAUGACUUGUGCAAGAUCAAAUAAGUUCAAGGAAGCUGUUAGUGGAAUG